RNAcentral lists this unclassified non-coding RNA (484 nucleotides) under Hevea brasiliensis (rubber tree). The record is from RNAcentral. Lineage: Eukaryota; Viridiplantae; Streptophyta; Magnoliopsida; Malpighiales; Euphorbiaceae.
AGAUCUUGGGGCCUCUCUUAAUCUCUCUGAAAAAUUGAGGCUCCAAGGAUGACCCCCGAUUUUGGUUCAAAGAAGGCCAUUUUGGAUUUGCUUGUGGUGAUUCCCAUCAUGACAAAUGCUUAUGUUUGCCACUUUAACGUUCAGCCUAUAUAUAAUGAACUUGAAGGGCGGUCACCCCAGAAGAUGAACCGAGUGGGGAGAAUUACAACUAUUCUUUGCAUUACCGUUUAUGCUUCGACAUAUCAGGUUAUCUACUCUUUGGGAAGGAUACUGAAGCUGAUGUACUGACCAAUUUUGACUCAGAUCUUGGGAUUCCUUUUAGCGCCGCCUUGGAUUAUAUUGUCAGGGUUGGGUAUAUUCUUCAUUUGAUUCUUGUUUUUCCUGUUGUUCAUUUCUCUUUAAGGCAAACAGUGGAUGCCAUGGUGUUUGAGGGAUCUGCUCCACUUUCGGAGAGUAGGAAGAGAUCUUUAGCCUUAACAGCAGU